This is a long non-coding RNA of Sapajus apella (tufted capuchin), 94 nucleotides long. RefSeq lists it as uncharacterized. The record is from RefSeq and is a predicted model, not a curated record. The transcript is spliced from 3 exons. NCBI's taxonomy places the organism in Eukaryota, Metazoa, Chordata, Mammalia, Primates, Cebidae.
CUGUGUUUAAGCUCAGAGUCAUAAGGAAAAUGAGCACUCAGACAAAGGAUUUCUCAGCAAGGCAAAUUUACUUCUGUACAGAGGGGUGCCCCUC